Molecule: small nuclear RNA, 159 nt
Filed under: Caenorhabditis brenneri
Lineage: Eukaryota; Metazoa; Nematoda; Chromadorea; Rhabditida; Rhabditidae
Description: snRNA CBN33892
Rfam family: U1 spliceosomal RNA
About the family: U1 is a small nuclear RNA (snRNA) component of the spliceosome (involved in pre-mRNA splicing). Its 5' end forms complementary base pairs with the 5' splice junction, thus defining the 5' donor site of an intron.
Source: Rfam by way of RNAcentral
UUACUUAGAGAGCUGAGGGUAAUUCCGUGAUCAUGAAGGCGGAAUCCCCAUGGUGACGCCUCUCCAUUGCACUUUUGGAUUGAGAGCUGACCCGUGUGGCAGGUUUGACUUGCCAACAGCAUAAUUUUUGCGUAUCGGGGCUGCCGGGGGUGGCCCUGG